This 254-nucleotide ribosomal RNA is filed under the name uncultured bacterium. RNAcentral's name for it is "partial 16S ribosomal RNA". It matches the Rfam family "Bacterial small subunit ribosomal RNA", at positions 524 to 776 of the family's 1533-position model. The record is from RNAcentral.
UACAGAGGGUGCGAGCGUUGUCCGGAAUCACUGGGCGUAAAGGGCGCGUAGGUGGUGGCUUAAGCGUGCGGUGAAAGCUCGGAGCUCAACUCCGAGUCGGCCGUGCGAACUGGGCUCACUGGAGCAUAGUAGAGGCAGGUGGAAUUCCGGGUGUAGCGGUGGAAUGCGUAGAGAUCCGGAAGAACACCGGUGGCGAAGGCGGCCUGCGGGGCUAUGGCUGACACUGAGGCGCGACAGCGUGGGGAGCAAACAGG